Molecule: ribosomal RNA, 460 nt
Filed under: uncultured bacterium
Lineage: Bacteria
Description: partial 16S ribosomal RNA
Rfam family: Bacterial small subunit ribosomal RNA
Source: RNAcentral
CCUACGGGAGGCAGCAGUGAGGAAUAUUGGUCAAUGGCCGUAAGGCUGAACCAGCCAAGUCGCGUGAAGGAAGAAGGAUCUAUGGUUUGUAAACUUCUUUUAUAGGGGAAUAAAGGUAUCCACGUGUGGAUAUUUGCAUGUACCCUAUGAAUAAGCAUCGGCUAACUCAGUGCCAGCAGCCGCGGUAAGACGGAGGAUGCGAGCGUUAACCGGAUUUAUUGGGUUUAAAGGGUGCGUAGGUGGUUUUUUAAGUCAGGGGUGAAAGUUUGUGGCUCAACCAUAAAAUUGCCGUUGAAACUGGAAGACUGGAGUGUGUUUGAGGAAGGCGGAAUUCGUGGUGUAGCGGUGAAAUGCAUAGAUAUCACGCAGAACUCCGAUUGCGAAGGCGGCUAACUAGGCCAUAACUGACGCUGAAGAACGAAAGCGUGGGGAUCAAACAGGAUUAGAUACCCCUGUAGUC